GACGAACGCUGGCGGCGUGCUUAACACAUGCAAGUCGAGGGGGCCCGCAAGGGUCACCGGCGAACGGGUGCGUAACACGUGAGCGACCUGCCCCACUGCGGGGGAUAGCCGGCCCAACGGCCGGGUAAUACCGCAUACGUCCGCGGCUUAGAAGCCGACGGAGAAACCGCUAGGGCGGUGGGAGGGGCUCGCGGCCUAUCAGCUAGUUGGCGAGGUAACGGCUCACCAAGGCGAUGACGGGUAGCNGGUCUGAGAGGAUGGCCAGCCACAUUGGGACUGAGAAACGGCCCAGACUCCUACGGGAGGCAGCAGUGGGGAAUAUUGGACAAUGGGCGCAAGCCUGAUCCAGCAAUGCCGCGUGUGUGAAGAAGGUCUUCGGAUUGUAAAGCACUUUCGACGGGGGACGAUGAUGACGGUACCCGUAGAAGAA
Molecule: ribosomal RNA, 430 nt
Filed under: uncultured bacterium
Lineage: Bacteria
Description: bacterial SSU rRNA
Rfam family: Bacterial small subunit ribosomal RNA
Source: RNAcentral